GAAAUGCGAUAAGUAAUGUGAAUUGCAGAAUUCAGUGAAUCAUCGAAUCUUUGAACGCACCUUGCGCUCCUUGGUAUUCCUUGGAGCAUGCCUGUUUGAGUAUCAUGAAAUUCUCAAAGCAAGUCUUUUUGUUAAUUCAAUAGACUUUGCUUUGGACUUGGAGGUCUGCAGAUUCACAGUCUGCUCCUCUUAAAUGCAUUAGCUGGAUCUCAGUGAGCUUGGUUCCACUCGGCGUGAUAAGUAUCACUCGCUGAGGACACCCGUUAAAAAAGGUGGCCAGGAUUGCAGAUGAACCGCUUCCAACAGUCUAUUGAUUUAGACAAAUAAAUUUAUGAUCUGAUCUCAAAUCAGGUAGGACUACCCGCUGAACUUAA
Molecule: unclassified non-coding RNA, 374 nt
Filed under: uncultured Ceratobasidiaceae
Lineage: Eukaryota; Fungi; Basidiomycota; Agaricomycetes; Cantharellales; Ceratobasidiaceae
Description: sequence contains ITS1
Rfam family: 5.8S ribosomal RNA (bases 1-105)
Source: RNAcentral